Molecule: ribosomal RNA, 497 nt
Filed under: uncultured bacterium
Lineage: Bacteria
Description: partial 16S ribosomal RNA
Rfam family: Bacterial small subunit ribosomal RNA
Source: RNAcentral
GACGAACGCUGGCGGCGUGCCUAAUACAUGCAAGUUGAGCGCUGAAGGUUGGUACUUGUACCAACUGGAUGAGCAGCGAACGGGUGAGUAACGCGUGGGGAAUCUGCCUUUGAGCGGGGGACAACAUUUGGAAACGAAUGCUAAUACCGCAUAAAAACUUUAAACACAAGUUUUAAGUUUGAAAGAUGCAAUUGCAUCACUCAAAGAUGAUCCCGCGUUGUAUUAGCUAGUUGGUGAGGUAAAGGCUCACCAAGGCGAUGAUACAUAGCCGACCUGAGAGGGUGAGAGGCCAAAUUGGGACUGAGACACGGCCCAAACUCCUACGGGAGGCAGCAGUAGGGAAUCUUCGGCAAUGGACGAAAGUCUGACCGAGCAACGCCGCGUGAGUGAAGAAGGUUUUCGGAUCGUAAAACUCUGUUGGUAGAGAAGAACGUUGGUGAGAGUGGAAAGCUCAUCAAGUGACGGUAACUACCCAGAAAGGGACGGCUAACUACGUG